AAACUGAAGAGUUUGGGGAUCAUGCGCUCCCAAGGAUUGAACGCUGGCGGCGGACGCGGAUGCACAUACAAGUCGACGGCGUGUAACAGGGGGUGCUUGCACCCGCUGACGAGCGGCGGACAGGUGAGUAAUGCGUAGGAAACUGCCCAGUAGUGGGGGAUGGCCCGGGAAGGCCGGAUUAAUACGGCGUACGCCCUGUCGGGGGAAAGCAGGGGAUCUCGGACCUUGCGCUCUUGGAUACGCCGCCGGCGUCGGAUCUGAAGCUGGUUGGUGCGGUGGAGCUACACGCUGAGGCGGCUGCGCCAUGCAGCUAGUCUGAGAGGAUGUAAGUCAGCCACAUCGGGACUGAGAUAUUUUUGGCCUGCCCAAGCCCCACGGGAAGCAGCAGGGGGAAUAUUGUGGAUGUCGGGGCAGCCACACUGAUCCAGCCAUGCCGUGCGUGUGAAGAAGGCUUUCAGGUUGUAAGCGCACUUCGGGAGAAGAAAAGUUGGGUACAAAUUCUUCCCAUUCCAGCCCUUGACGUUACCUGGCAGAAGAAGCUUCGGCUAACUCCAGCACGCAGCCGCGGCAACCGCGAUGUGCGGGGUGCAGGGCGUUAAAUCGGAAUUACGCUACACUGGGCGCAAAGCGUGCUGCAUGGUGGCUUUCCGAUAAGCGAGAUCUGCGCGAAGCCUGAAACCCAGCUUCGAACCCGGGAAAACAACAUUUUGAACCGCCGCCGGCCAGAGGCAUGUUAGAGGAGUGGAUUUUCCUGUUCUUGCGGUGAAAUGCGUGCAGAUGGAGAAGGCAAGGAAACACUCAUUGGCGAAGGCGGGCACUUCAACUGGGCACAUCUGCAGCUACUGAGGUGCGAAAGCGUAGAGGAGCAAAACAUGAUUCGAUACCUGGUAGAUCUUUGCGUCCAUCAGCAGUACCUAUACUACUAGCCGUUCGGGACUCUGAAGCCCGAGAGGGUGCAAGCUAACUGUACCUCAGCAGAUCCGCCUGAAGAUUUUUGAACGGCAGUUAAAAACUCAAAUGAAUUAAUGGGGCCCGCACAAAGCGGUGGAACAUGUGUGUGUUUAAUUCUGACGCUAACGCGAAGAGUUGCUUACCUAGCCUUGACAUGCAGAGAACUUUCCAGAGAUGGAUUGGUGCCUUCGGGAACUCUGAGCUGGGAUACGUAAGCAUGGCUGUUCGUCAAACAAUCGUGUCGGUGAUGAUGUUGGGUUAGAAGUCCAUGUUAAGCGGCGCAACCCCUAUCCCUGGGUUGCUAGUGGUUUGAGCUGCAGAGACUCUAGGGGAGACUACCGAUGAUAAACCGGGAGAGAUGCAGGGACUGGCCAUCAGGUCUAUUAUACUAGCACUUACUGACCGGAACUGCCCACAUGCUACAAAUGGCUUUUGGGGCGCAGAGGCUGGAGACACCCACGAGAGGGCCAAUCUCUGCUAACACGUCUGUGAGUCGGAUGAUCCGAGUCUGCAUCUCGACUGCCGUGAAGAUCAGAAUCGCUGGUAAUCGUGAGAUCAAAAUAUCACAGUGGAUGGAUUACUGGCGCAUGCACACACCGCCCGUCACACCAUGGGAGUGGAUUGCACCACGGAAGGUGGUUGAAGCCCGCAUGGAGGGUUUGAGUCGCCACGGUGUGGUUCAUGACUGGGGAGGAUGAGAAUCAAUAACAAGGUAGCCGUAGGGGAACCUGCGGCUGGAUCACCUCCUUAA
This 1702-nucleotide ribosomal RNA is filed under the name Marinobacter salsuginis. Its description in RNAcentral is "16S ribosomal RNA". It matches the Rfam family "Bacterial small subunit ribosomal RNA". Lineage: Bacteria; Pseudomonadati; Pseudomonadota; Gammaproteobacteria; Pseudomonadales; Marinobacteraceae. The record is from RNAcentral.